CAGUAGCCGCGGUAAUACAGAGGGUGCAAGCGUUAAUCGGAGUUACUGGGCGUAAAGCGCGCGUAGGUGGUUUGUUAAGUUGGAUGUGAAAUCCCCGGGCUCAACCUGGGAACUGCAUCCAAAACUGGCAGGCUAGAGUAGGGCAGAGGGUGGUGGAAUUUCCUGUGUAGCGGUGAGAUGCGUAGAUAUAGGAAGGAACACCAGUGGCGAAGGCGACCACCUGGGCUCAUACUGACACUGAGGUGCGAAAGCGUGGGGAGCAAACAGGAUUAGAGACCCGAGUAGUCCCUGUCUCUUAUAC
RNAcentral lists this ribosomal RNA (301 nucleotides) under uncultured bacterium. Its description in RNAcentral is "partial 16S ribosomal RNA". It matches the Rfam family "Bacterial small subunit ribosomal RNA", at positions 509 to 807 of the family's 1533-position model. The record is from RNAcentral.